UACGUAGGGUGCGAGCGUUAAUCGGAAUUACUGGGCGUAAAGCGCGCGUAGGCGGCCUCAUAAGUCCGUUGUGAAAGUCAAAGGCUCAACCUUUGAAAGCCGAUGGAUACUGUGAGGCUAGAGUCCGGAAGAGGCGAGUGGAAUUCCUGGUGUAGCGGUGGAAUGCGCAGAUAUCAGGAGGAACACCAAUAGCGAAGGCAGCUCGCUGGGACGGUACUGACGCUAAGGCGCGAAAGCGUGGGGAGCGAACAGG
Molecule: ribosomal RNA, 253 nt
Filed under: uncultured bacterium
Lineage: Bacteria
Description: partial 16S ribosomal RNA
Rfam family: Bacterial small subunit ribosomal RNA
Source: RNAcentral